UACUGAGGAUGCAAGCGUUAUCCGGAAUGAUUGGGCGUAAAGCGUCCGCAGGUGGCUGUGUAAGUCUGCUGUCAAAGAGCGAAGCUCAACUUCGUAAAGGCAGUGGAAACGACACGGCUAGAGUGCGUUCGGGGCAGAGGGAAUUCCUGGUGUAGCGGUGAAAUGCGUAGAGAUCAGGAAGAACACCGGUGGCGAAGGCGCUCUGCUAGGCCGCAACUGACACUGAGGGACGAAAGCUAGGGGAGCGAAUGGG
This 253-nucleotide ribosomal RNA is filed under the name uncultured bacterium. RNAcentral describes it as "partial 16S ribosomal RNA". It matches the Rfam family "Bacterial small subunit ribosomal RNA", at positions 524 to 776 of the family's 1533-position model. The record is from RNAcentral.